RNAcentral lists this ribosomal RNA (406 nucleotides) under uncultured bacterium. Its description in RNAcentral is "partial 16S ribosomal RNA". It matches the Rfam family "Bacterial small subunit ribosomal RNA", at positions 30 to 526 of the family's 1533-position model. The record is from RNAcentral.
AUUGAACGCUGGCGGCAGGCCUAACACAUGCAAGUCGAGCGAGCGGCGGAAGGGAGAGUAAUGUAUGGGGAUCUGCCUGAUGGAGGGGGAUAACUAAUGGAAACUGUGGCUAAUUCCGCAUUGAAUCGGAUGAACCCAUUUGGGAUUAGCUAGUAGGUGGGGUAAAGGCUCACCUAGGCGACGAUCUCUAGCUGGUCUGAGAGGAUGAUCAGCCACACUGGAACUGAGACACGGCCCAGACUCCGACGGGAGGCAGCAGUGGGGAAUAUUGCACAAUGGGCGAAAGCCUGAUGCAGCCAUGCCGCGUGUGUGAAGAAGGCCUUCGGGUUGUAAAGUACUUUCAGCGGGGAGGCGUUACCCGCAGAAGAAGCACCGGCUAACUCCGUGCCAGCAGCCGCGGUAAUAC